AUGAAGUCACAGAUCCAGGUCCUCCUAUCCCUGCUGCUUUGGGUGUCUGGUUCCUGUGCAGAUAUCAUGAUGACCCAGUCUCCAUCCUCCCUGGCUGUGUCAGCUGGAGAGAAAGUCACCAUCAGCUGCAGGUCCAGUCAGAGUCUUUAUUACAGUGUCAACCAAAAGAACUACUUGUCCUGGUACCAGCAGAAACCAGGGCAAUCCCCUAAGCCACUGAUCUACCAUACAACCACUCGGCACACUGGGGUCCCUGAUCGCUUCACAGGCAGUGGAUCUGGGACAGAUUUCACUCUCAGCACCAGCAGUGUGCAGGCUGAAGACCUGGCAGGUUACUACUGUCAGCAGGUUACAGCUAUCCUCCCGCAGUGCGUCAGCCUCCAACACAAACCUCCUUGA
Psammomys obesus (fat sand rat) is the source of this 399-nucleotide non-coding RNA. The record is from the annotation of a RefSeq genome assembly. NCBI's taxonomy places the organism in Eukaryota, Metazoa, Chordata, Mammalia, Rodentia, Muridae.